This 443-nucleotide ribosomal RNA is filed under the name uncultured bacterium. RNAcentral's name for it is "partial 16S ribosomal RNA". It matches the Rfam family "Bacterial small subunit ribosomal RNA", at positions 338 to 795 of the family's 1533-position model. The record is from RNAcentral.
CCUACGGGAGGCUGCAGUGGGGAAUAUUGGGCAAUGGGCGCAAGCCUGACCCAGCAACGCCGCGUGAAGGAAGAAGGCUUUCGGGUUGUAAACUUCUUUUCUCAGGGACGAAGCAAGUGACGGUACCUGAGGAAUAAGCCACGGCUAACUACGUGCCAGCAGCCGCGGUAAUACGUAGGUGGCAAGCGUUAUCCGGAUUUACUGGGUGUAAAGGGCGUGUAGGCGGGAAAGCAAGUCAGAUGUGAAAACCAUGGGCUCAACCUGUGGCCUGCAUUUGAAACUGUUUUUCUUGAGUACUGGGGAGGCAGACGGAAUUCCUAGGGUAGCGGGGAAAUGGGGAGAAAUUAGGGGGAACACCAGGGGCGAAGGCGGUCUGCUGGACAGCAACUGACGCUGAGGCGCGAAAGCGUGGGGAGCAAACAGGAUUAGAUACCCCUGUAGUC